CCUACUCGCCAUCGCCGUCGGGGUACUGCCCCACGGACACGCUGAAGCUGGGCGUGUGCGCCAACGUGCUGGGCCUUGUGAAGGUGGAGCUGGGCCACCCGCCGUCCGGCGAGUGCUGCAGCCUCCUCGGCGGGCUCGCCGACCUCGAGGCCGCCGUGUGCCUCUGCACGGCGCUCAAGGCCAACGUGCUCGGCAUCGUCCUCAACAUCCCCGUCAAGCUCAGCCUCCUCCUCAACUACUGCGGCAAGACCGCUCCCCAAGGCUUCAUCUGCGCUUAAAUUGAGCAUCAACGAUUGAUUGCCCCAUGCUUGAUGCAUUUUAAUUACCUGUACGUGCUUGCAUUUUGAAUAUUUUGUUU
RNAcentral lists this long non-coding RNA (358 nucleotides) under Brachypodium distachyon (stiff brome). Its description in RNAcentral is "long non-coding RNA (BDIS_LNC001512)". The record is from RNAcentral. Lineage: Eukaryota; Viridiplantae; Streptophyta; Magnoliopsida; Poales; Poaceae.